This is a long non-coding RNA of Clupea harengus (Atlantic herring), 3577 nucleotides long. The record is from Ensembl. NCBI's taxonomy places the organism in Eukaryota, Metazoa, Chordata, Actinopteri, Clupeiformes, Clupeidae.
CACAAAUAUCCGACGAGGCAAAAUCGUAGACGUCGUGACUUCUGAGAUGUCGCAUAUGUUUAUUUAAUUAAAUUGCUUAGAUUCAGCACUUCGUUUUCAGCGUGGCUGCGGCAUAGCUGGUGGCAUGGGAGGAAUGAUGCUUUUUCAAGUGCUUGUUCCACUGCUAUUGGUUGCCACAGCAUCAUCUUCAGAAGAUAAAGUGUUUGUCCUGAAAGGAGGGUCCAUCGUGUUGCAGGCGGAGCAAGUGACUAGGGUUUCCUCUAUCAUCUGGAAACACAACAAGGAGAAAGCUGCAGAAUGGUUUGAGGGCGAUGAUGCGCCAACCUAUUAUAACAUAUUUCAAUAUGUAGCUACACUGGAUGAGCAAACCUGGGCCUUGACCAUCUCAGACCUCCAUCCACGUUUUAAUGGGAAAUAUUCAGCUGAGGUGAACAACAAGGACCCAACUCAGUUUGUGACCUUAACUGUACUUGGGCCAGUUUCAAAACCUACAAUCACCAUGGACUGCAUUGAUACCCUCUGCACCCUGACCUGCGAGGGACGGGAAGAUGGAUUCACAACAUACACCUGGGCUAAUGGCAUUGAAGAGUGGCCUGGAUCUGAACUGACUGUGGAGAAGAUAGACCAUGAUGUGGUCCACACCUGUAACUUCAGUAAUCCAGUGAGCUGGGCAUCCAGCAACGGGACAGUCAAACAUGUACCGCCUUCACCAGUUCCAGGACUUGGUCUAGCUAAUGGAGUAAGAAUUGGAGUAGUAAUUGCAGUGUUAAUUAUAGGUUCAUGUAUUCUACUUCAGCUGGUGUUAAAAAAGCAAGGAAACAAAAAUCAACCUGAAGCUAACCAAGAUCCAUCACAUGAUGUUGUGACAGAAGUGCAGAACAGUUGUUUGUAUGUCACGAGAGCAGAAGGAGCGUGAUGGAGGUGAGGAAAAUCAACAACUGCCAAACACUGUAAGUUGCAGUGAAGACAUACUAUAUACAGCGUCUUCAGCAUGUCACUAUCUGUGUUUGAAGUCAAAUAAUGUCUCUACAUCAUGUUAGUUUACAAAAAAAGACUGGUGUUGAUAUUUGUUUUGUUUUGUUUUUGUAGUUAAUGUGGGGUUUUCGCUGUCUACAUGGCAAGUUAUUCAAGCAAAUGAAUGCCUAGGUGUUAAUUGGAAAUUUUACAGAAUAUAUUGCCAUUAACAGAAAACACUGUCAGGUGGCACUGUUUAAAGUCUAAAUCAAUGUUUGCAACUUUGGUAGCAUAAUAAUAGUAACAUUGACAACAAAAACAUAUUUGUAAAGGUUUUAAAACUGCAAGUGUAGUGUAUGAAUGAGCCAGUAGAUGGCCAAGUGAAUGUUCUCUGUUCAUUGUGUGAAGAGAUAUUUAGUUUUAUACAUACUGCAAAUGUUCUCUGUUCAUUGUGUGGAGAGAUAUUUCGUUUUAUACGUACUUUGUGAGAAGAGAUAUUUUUAUACAUACUUUGUGAGAGAUAUUUUGUUUUUAUACUUAUUUUGUGAAAAGAAAUAUUUCGUUUUAUACAUACUUUGUGAAAAUAGAUAUUUAGGUUUAUACUUUGCAAGUUUUUUUCUCAUGACUGGAGUGUUUGUACAUUUGAGGCGUAAAAUGAGUCCCACCAUUUACUGUAACAGUCAAGAAUAUUAAUUGUAUUGUAUAUUCUGAUGCACCUCUGUCUUGUGACGUUUGUGUGAGCUGAUGGGCAUUGUUUGCCUCCUGACCCCCCCUCACUCUCCCAUGCCCCUCUCCCUUCUCCUGGGCACAGGUCAUUCUGGGGUCACACCUGGCCACAUUUUAGGGGUGAAAUCUAUUUAGUGAGUAGAGGGCGUCAGCACAUUGGGGGUUGAUAUCAUUUUAAUGGCCUGUGUGAGUAGGCCUAUAAGGGUCACAGUUGUUGAACAAUAAGUUGGAUCUUUAAAAGGUCUCCAGAAACAUGCGGAAAUGUCCUUUAUAAGGUCUCCAUUCCAGUGACACUCCCACCUGGGGUCAAAACAUGUCCUACUCCUUGCCACUCGGAUAAGGAGAUGGCCCCAUUGGUCAAAGGUCCUUAGAUGUGUAAAUAGGUUAUUUAUGCAAAUUUCCAUUUGUCAUGUAAUUUAAGAAUGCAUUUUUUUUUGGUUGUGUAUUAUUACUAGAAGUAUUGAAUCUUUAUGCUUUUAUUUUUGACUUAGCUUAAUCAUUGCGUAAUCAUGUUAGAAAACAUCUUUGAAUUUGCAAUGCGUGAAUUGUGUGAAUGCCUGUAAGUGGCUCCUUUGUGAACUCAGAUACAGUAAAUCCUUGUAGUAAAUUCUAAGAGAGACAUAACAUUAUUAACUAUCACUCUGGUAAUAUCUAGCCACGACUGCAACAGCAGUGGUGAAUAAAUAACUGGAGUCAGAUUGGUCAAGAGAUAGUUUCACCAUCUAAGCAGUCUCACCUGGGCACCGGAUAAGACAGUUAUACAUUGAACCUUUGGCCGUUAGUCUGGUCUCCACACCUGGGCCAACAGCGGCUUCCUCCACAAUAUAACAGAUGGAUUUUUAAAUAUAUAAAUUACUGUAUUACUUUUGGUCAGAAAGUCUUGUCUGAGGCAUGGUAAGAUAUUUUAUUGGGUUACUCACAGUAGACAACAGAUCUGUGUAGUUUAGGUAGACUACAUGAAAGUACAUCAAUGAUACCUACAGUAGGAUGAAAGUUAGAUGAUCAGUUCUUACUGGAAAAAGGGAAAAGGUGCCCCGUUGCUGUUGUUGUUUAAUAUGAUGCUCUAUUUUUGCAUGCUAAAGACACGUUUUCUCACACAAAUACUGCCAUUAUGCCAUUAAGCAUGAGCUCUGUAUUUCUAUGUGUCGUUGCCAGGCAGCUCCCCCAUGCCCUAUAUUUUGUCUUCAUUUAAAGUCUGUGCUAUCAUAGUUAAAAUAUGCAUAGGUGGAACACACAUUAUGUGAGAGCACCAAUGCAGGAAUCAUGUAAAGACCUUUAGGUAUUGAUACAGAAGCGUCACAAUCAUACAUGGUAUCUCCUUCCUCUGUUUUGAUGUGUAUUGCUGUUCAGACUUUUUUUUUUUUUUAAUCUUUUUCUUAAAUCUCUGACGUGGUUUGUCGUUUUUUCACUAUUCUCUUCAGGUGUAUUAGAUUGAAAUGAUACAUUUGAGAAUAGAAAUGAUUGGCAGACUUGCAAUUGUCUGUUGUGUUAAUAAAGCUUUUUUUCAGCACAUCCAUUUCAUCUUUUGUUGGUCUAUUACAUUUUAAAGCAAUGCUUUGUUUAUAGUUUACUUUUACCACAUUUAAAGACUAAAGCUGUUUGGCUGAUCAACACAAGGGGAAAAAAACUCAGCAAUGACUCACCAGUUACAGUGAGCUGAUACAUACGUCAUUAUUUAUUUUAAAUGCAUAAAAGCCACUCCAAUUUGAUUUGAGAUCUGAGAUGGUUAGAGACAACGUUUGCUUGUCAAACUCCGUGUUUAGAAAAAGGCAUUUUGUUUGUUGCUCUUCUUCAUCCCAAUGUGCAAUGAUUGUGUUAUUGUGUGCCCACUGAAUGACCUCCUCGUGUACAUUUGGUACUUCUGCUUGAAGAGUGAUGGAUUGUCCUGUCAUUCCAC